UACGUAGGGGGCAAGCGUUAUCCGGAAUUAUUGGGCGUAAAGAGUACGUAGGUGGCAACCUAAGCGCAGGGUUUAAGGCAAUGGCUCAACCAUUGUUCGCCCUGCGAACUGGGAUGCCUGAGUGCAGGAGAGGAAAGCGGAAUUCCUAGUGUAGCGGUGAAAUGCGUAGAUAUUAGGAGGAACACCAGUGGCGAAGGCGGCUUUCUGGACUGUAACUGACACUGAGGUACGAAAGCGUGGGGAGCAAACAGG
RNAcentral lists this ribosomal RNA (252 nucleotides) under uncultured bacterium. RNAcentral describes it as "partial 16S ribosomal RNA". It matches the Rfam family "Bacterial small subunit ribosomal RNA", at positions 524 to 776 of the family's 1533-position model. The record is from RNAcentral.